GCGAGCGAAAAGAAAAUAGUUCAGCACUAAGUCACUUUGUUUUCAUAACAAAUGUGAGAUGCAGUGUAUGGGAAUAUCUAUAAUCUAGUAUGACAAAUUAAUGAUUUAAGUCCUUCUUAAAAGAGGCCAUUUACCCAAAGAGGGUGCCAGGCCCGUAUAACAUUAAUGAUUACUAGAAGAUAUUUCCAAAGAGUCGUGUUGCUUGAUAGUGCAGCACUAAGAGGGUGGUAAACUCCAUCUAAAGCUAAAUAUUACCAUGAGACCGAUAGUAAACAAGUACCGUGAGGGAAAGUUGAAAAGAACUCUGAAUAGAGAGUUAAAUAGUACGUGAAACUGCUUAGAGGUUAAGCCCGAUGAACCUGAAUAUCCAUUAUGGAAAAUUCAUCAUUAUAACUGAAAUACUAUAUUUAUAUAUGUAUCAGUAUAAWAGUAAUAAUGUGCAUUUUUUCCAUAUAAGGACAUUGUAAUCUAUUAAUACAAAUUUAUCAUAAGAUCAAUAGCAAAAGUUUAUUAAAUUUAGAUUGUUUUACAAUUUUAACAUUUAAUAAAUGCUUUUGAUUUGAUAAAGUAUUGAUAGCUUUAUAUAUAUAGUGUAUAAAUUGUUUUCUAAACAAUUUUACAAUAACAUUUUUAUUAUAUAUAACAAAUGUUUAUUGUAUACACUUAUAUGAUUAACAAUGCGAAAGAUUCAGGAUACCUUCGGGACCCGUCU
RNAcentral lists this ribosomal RNA (712 nucleotides) under Stylogaster pauliani. Its description in RNAcentral is "eukaryotic LSU rRNA". It matches the Rfam family "Eukaryotic large subunit ribosomal RNA", at positions 89 to 654 of the family's 3401-position model. The record is from RNAcentral. Lineage: Eukaryota; Metazoa; Arthropoda; Insecta; Diptera; Conopidae.